GAUGAACGCUGGCGGCGUGCCUAAUACAUGCAAGUCGAGCGAAUGGAUUAAGAGCUUGCUCUUAUGAAGUUAGCGGCGGACGGGUGAGUAACACGUGGGUAACCUGCCCAUAAGACUGGGAUAACUCCGGGAAACCGGGGCUAAUACUGGAUAAUAUUUUGAACUGCAUGGUUCAAAAUUGAAAGGCGGCUUCGGCUGUCACUUAUGGAUGGACUCGCGUCGCAUUAGCUAGUUGGUGAGAUAACGGCUCACCAAGGCAACGAUGCGUAGCCGACCUGAGAGGGUGAUCGGCCACACUGGGACUGAGACACGGCCCAGACUCCUACGGGAGGCAGCAGUAGGGAAUCUUCCGCAAUGGACGAAAGUCUGACGGAGCAACGCCGCGUGAGUGAUGAAGGCUUUCGGGUCGUAAAACUCUGUUGUUAGGGAAGAACAAGUGCUAGUUGAAUAAGCUGACACCUUGACGGUACCUAACCAGAAAGCCACGGCUAACUACGUGCCAGCCGCCGCUGUAA
This 515-nucleotide ribosomal RNA is filed under the name uncultured bacterium. RNAcentral's name for it is "partial 16S ribosomal RNA". It matches the Rfam family "Bacterial small subunit ribosomal RNA", at positions 28 to 523 of the family's 1533-position model. The record is from RNAcentral.